GGAUAAGGAAAGUAAAAAAGGGCGCAUGGCGGAUGCCUUGGCUCUCGGAGGCGAUGAAGGACGUGAUAAGCUGCGAUAAGCUUUGGGGAGGUGCAAAUGACCUUUGAUCCAGAGAUUUCCGAAUGGGACAACCCAAUAUCUUGAAGAGGUAUUAUCUUACUAUGUAAGAGGCUAACGCAGGGAACUGAAACAUCUUAGUACCUGCAGGAAAAGAAAAUAAACAAUGAUUCCCCCAGUAGUGGCGAGCGAACGGGGAACAGCCCAAACCAUCCAUGUUACGGCAUGGGUGGGGUUGUAGGACUACGCCGUUGCAUGAAGACAUCAGAGAAGAACUUUCUGGAAAGAAAGACCAUAGAGCAUGACAGUUGCGUAUUCGAAUGUUGUCGAAGCAUAGUAGUAUCCUGAGUAGCGCGGAGCACGAGGAAUUCUGCGUGAAUCUGCCGGGACCAUCCGGUAAGGCUAAAUACUCCCGAGAGACCGAUAGCGAACCAGUACCGUGAGGGAAAGGUGAAAAGCACUUCGAACAGAAGAGUGAAAUAGUUCCUGAAACCGUGCGCCUACAAGCGGUCGGAGCUCGUUAAUGAGUGACGGCGUGCCUUUUGCAUAAUGAACCUACGAGUUGCCUUUGCCGGCAAGGUUAAGUGUGACGACACACGUAUCCGAAGCGAAAGCGAGUCUGAACAGGGCGUAUAGUCGGCAGUGGCAGACGCGAAACCAAGUGAUCUACCCUUGGCCAGGUUGAAGGCUGGGUAACACCAGCUGGAGGACCGCACCAAUAAGCGUUGAAAAGCUUCUGGAUGAGCUGAGGGUAGGGGUGAAAGGCUAAUCAAACUUGGAGAUAGCUCGUACUCCCCGAAAUGCAUUUAGGUGCAGCCUUGCGGGUUACUGAUGUGAGGUAGAGCGACUGAUAAGAUGCGAGGGCUUCACCGCCUAUCAAGUCUUGACAAACUCCGAAUGCGCAUCAGUUCUACCGCAGGAGUGAGGGCAUGGGUGCUAAGGUCCGUGCCCGAGAGGAGAAGAAUCCGGACCACCUGCUAAGGUCCCGAAAUGACAGCUAAGUUAAACUAACGAAGUCUGACUGCUAAGACAGCUAGGAUGUUGGCUUGGAAGCAGCCAUUCAUUUAAAGAGUGCGUAACAGCUCACUAGUCGAGGAGU
This 1156-nucleotide ribosomal RNA is filed under the name Bacteroides xylanisolvens. RNAcentral describes it as "partial 23S ribosomal RNA". It matches the Rfam family "Bacterial large subunit ribosomal RNA", at positions 1 to 1157 of the family's 2925-position model. The record is from RNAcentral. Lineage: Bacteria; Pseudomonadati; Bacteroidota; Bacteroidia; Bacteroidales; Bacteroidaceae.